AUUGAACGCUGGCGGCAGGCUUAACACAUGCAAGUCGAGCGGGGUGAUGGUGCUUGCACUAUCACUUAGCGGCGGACGGGUGAGUAAUGCUUAGGAAUCUGCCUAUCAGUGGGGGACAACAUCUCGAAAGGGAUGCUAAUACCGCAUACGUCCUACGGGAGAAAGCAGGGGAUCACUUGUGACCUUGCGCUAAUAGAUGAGCCUAAGUCGGAUUAGCUAGUUGGUGGGGUAAAGGCCUACCAAGGCGACGAUCUGUAGCGGGUCUGAGAGGAUGAUCCGCCACACUGGGACUCAGAAACGGCCCAGACUCCUACGGGAGGCAGCAGUGGGGAAUAUUGGACAAUGGGGGGAACCCUGAUCCAGCCAUGCCGCGUGUGUGAAGAAGGCCUUAUGGUUGUAAAGCACUUUAAGCGAGGAGGAGGCUCUUUUGGCUAAUACCCAAGAUGAGUGGACGUUACUCGCAGAAUAAGCACCGGCUAACUCUGUGCCAGCCGCCGCCGUAA
RNAcentral lists this ribosomal RNA (503 nucleotides) under uncultured bacterium. Its description in RNAcentral is "partial 16S ribosomal RNA". It matches the Rfam family "Bacterial small subunit ribosomal RNA", at positions 30 to 523 of the family's 1533-position model. The record is from RNAcentral.